RNAcentral lists this non-coding RNA (80 nucleotides) under Actinoplanes missouriensis. RNAcentral's name for it is "SAH sequence". It matches the Rfam family "SAH (S-adenosyl-L-homocysteine) riboswitch aptamer". RNAcentral also lists the same sequence under 1 other name. Lineage: Bacteria; Bacillati; Actinomycetota; Actinomycetes; Micromonosporales; Micromonosporaceae. The record is from RNAcentral.
CCGCCCGAGAGGCGCUGCAACGGACGUCUCACGUCCGCCACGCUCGGCCGGGUUCCAUGACGCAAGGGCGCCUCCUGAGA